GCCCAGCCAUAAACACAAGUAGUAGCCUUACACCUGCUGCUCGCCCGGGGACUACGAGCAUAAGCUUAAAACCCAAAGGACUUGGCGGUGCUUUAGAUCCACCUAGAGGAGCCUGUUCUAGAACCGAUAACCCCCGUUCAACCUCACCUUUUCUUGUUUCCCCCGCCUAUAUACCGCCGUCGUCAGCCUACCCUGUGAAGAACACAUAGUAAGCAAAAUUGGCAGAGCCCAAAACGUCAGGUCGAGGUGUAGCGUAUGAAAAGGGAAGAAAUGGGCUACAUUUACUGAACCAGUACACACGAACGAUGCUUUGAAACAAACAUCUGAAGGAGGAUUUAGCAGUAAGGAGGAAAAUAGAGAGUUCCCCUGAAACCGGCCCUGAAGCGCGC
RNAcentral lists this ribosomal RNA (389 nucleotides) under Hypseleotris gymnocephala. RNAcentral describes it as "partial 12S ribosomal RNA". It matches the Rfam family "Bacterial small subunit ribosomal RNA", at positions 794 to 1384 of the family's 1533-position model. The record is from RNAcentral. Lineage: Eukaryota; Metazoa; Chordata; Actinopteri; Gobiiformes; Eleotridae.